AGCCCGUCCCACAGGCAAAUCCGUGGGGCGCGUGGGCGAGGUGCGAUGAUGGGCGCCGCAGGGCGCGAUAUCCGGUGAUCCCGGCUGCCGAGAAAAGCUUCGGCGUGAGGCGGCGUGCCGCCCGUACCCCAAACCGACACUGGUGGUCAGGUAGAGAAUACCAAAGCGAUCGAGCGAAUCCUGGUCAAGGAACUCGGCAAAUCACUCCCGUUCCUUCGGUUUAAGGGAGACCCCCGAUGGUGAAGCGGCUUGCCCGUGGAGCUUUUGGGGGUGGCACAGACCAGGGGGUAGCGACUGUUUACCAAAAACACAGGAGCGUGCGAAGGCGCAAGCCGCUGUAUACGCUCUGACGCCUGCCCGGUGCCGGAAGGUUAAGAGGAUCCGUCAGGCUUCGGCCGAAGCGGUGAAUUCAAGCCCCGGUAAACGGCGGUGGUAACUAUAACCAUCCUAAGGUAGCGAAAUUCCUUGUCGGGUAAGUUCCGACCUGCACGAAUGGCGUAACGACUUCCCCACUGUCUCGACCAGGAGCUCGGCGAAAUUGCAGUACGAGUAAAGAUGCUCGUUAAGCGCAGAAGGACGAAAAGACCCCGGGACCUUUACUAUACCUUGGUAUUGGCAUUCGGUGUGGAUUGUGUAGCAUAGGCGGAAGGCUUCGAAGCCACGGCGCCAGCCGCGGUGGAGCCGCAAGGUGAAAUACCGCUCUGUUCGCAUUGGAUGUCUAACCUCGACCAGUCAUCCUGGUCAGGGACAGUGCCUGGCGGGUAGUUUAACUGGGGCGGUUGCCUCCCAAAGAGUAACGGAGGCGCUCAAAGGUUCCCUCAGCCCGGUUGGCAAUCGGGUGGCGAGUGUAAGUGCACAAGGGAGCUUGACUGCGAGACUGACGGGUCGAGCAGGGACGAAAGUCGGAACUAGUGAUCCGGUGCCGGUGUACGGACGCGGCAUCGCUCAACGGAUAAAAGGUACCCCGGGGAUAACAGGCUGAUCAUUCCCAAGAGUCCAUAUCGACGGGAUGGUUUGGCACCUCGAUGUCGGCUCGUCGCAUCCUGGGGCUGGAGCAGGUCCCAAGGGUUCGGCUGUUCGCCGAUUAAAGCGGCACGCGAGCUGGGUUCAGAACGUCGUGAGACAGUUUGGUCUCUAUCCUCUGCGCUCGUCGGAAUGUUGAGGAGGCCUGCCCAUAGUACGAGAGGACCUGGGUGGACGAACCUCUGGUAUGCCGGUUGUCACGCCAGUGGCACGGCCGGUUGGCUACGUUCGGAAGGGAUAACCGCUGAAAGCAUCUAAGCGGGAAGCCUGCUCCAAGAUAAGCAUUCCAUAGGACUACGGGUCCUUGAAGUCCCCAUGCAGAACACGUGGUUGAUAGGCCGGACGUGGAAGCCCCGCGAGGGGUGGAGCCGACCGGUACUAACGGACGAAAGGCAACACAA
RNAcentral lists this ribosomal RNA (1424 nucleotides) under human gut metagenome. Its description in RNAcentral is "bacterial LSU rRNA". It matches the Rfam family "Bacterial large subunit ribosomal RNA", at positions 1522 to 2925 of the family's 2925-position model. The record is from RNAcentral.